CCAGCUGCCUGACUUCAUUCUGUCCUCUCUGAUUUUGGAGGUCCCUGGCACUGGAAGAAAAGAAAAGAAGGGCUGAAUGCAUAAUGUCAGUGCAUUACCCAGACUGCCUACAUAAUCAGAAAGUAACACUCAAACAGGUCUGGUUUUUACAGGCAUGUCUUACAUAAGAUUGCUGGGAGAAUGUUGUGCAAGUCUUCGUGAACAGCCCCACUGGUGCCGUGAUCUGCUGUGGCUUUCUGUCUCCUUGCUUGGAUGACUGAAACUUUUGAACUGGAGCGAACUGACAGCAGCUACUGGAUAUGAAGCAGUAGCCUCACUCACAAAUAACCUCUUAUUUGAGUAAAAAUACUGCUCUGAAAGUGAGUCUUUACUUGAGCUUGCUGAAACCUGAAGGAUUAAUAACUAUAAAUGUGGGCUGCAGCACGGCCUGUAGAUUAAUUGUAUGUUAAUUAAAUAAUGAUCAUUGAUGCGGUAAUCUUA
Long non-coding RNA from Passer domesticus (house sparrow), 480 nucleotides. RefSeq lists it as uncharacterized. The transcript is spliced from 3 exons. The record is from RefSeq and is a predicted model, not a curated record. Lineage: Eukaryota; Metazoa; Chordata; Aves; Passeriformes; Passeridae.